RNAcentral lists this ribosomal RNA (928 nucleotides) under uncultured bacterium. RNAcentral describes it as "bacterial SSU rRNA". It matches the Rfam family "Bacterial small subunit ribosomal RNA", at positions 54 to 972 of the family's 1533-position model. The record is from RNAcentral.
CAUGCAAGUCGAGGGGAAACGACAUCGAAAGCUUGCUUUUGAUGGGCGUCGACCGGCGCACGGGUGAGUAACGCGUAUCCAACCUGCCCACCACUUGGGGAUAACCUUGCGAAAGUAAGACUAAUACCCAAUGACGUCUCUAGAAGACAUCUGAAGGAGAUUAAAGAUUUAUCGGUGAUGGAUGGGGAUGCGUCUGAUUAGCUUGUUGGCGGGGUAACGGCCCACCAAGGCGACGAUCAGUAGGGGUUCUGAGAGGAAGGUCCCCCACAUUGGAACUGAGACACGGUCCAAACUCCUACGGGAGGCAGCAGUGAGGAAUAUUGGUCAAUGGACGAGAGUCUGAACCAGCCAAGUAGCGUGCAGGAUGACGGCCCUAUGGGUUGUAAACUGCUUUUAUAAGGGAAUAAAGUGAGAGUCGUGACUCUUUUUGCAUGUACCUUAUGAAUAAGGACCGGCUAAUUCCGUGCCAGCAGCCGCGGUAAUACGGAAGGUCCGGGCGUUAUCCGGAUUUAUUGGGUUUAAAGGGAGCGUAGGCCGGAGAUUAAGCGUGUUGUGAAAUGUAGAUGCUCAACAUCUGAACUGCAGCGCGAACUGGUUUCCUUGAGUACGCACAAAGUGGGCGGAAUUCGUGGUGUAGCGGUGAAAUGCUUAGAUAUCACGAAGAACUCCGAUUGCGAAGGCAGCUCACUGGAGCGCAACUGACGCUGAAGCUCGAAAGUGCGGGUAUCGAACAGGAUUAGAUACCCUGGUAGUCCGCACGGUAAACGAUGGAUGCCCGCUGUUGGUCUGAAUAGGUCAGCGGCCAAGCGAAAGCAUUAAGCAUCCCACCUGGGGAGUACGCCGGCAACGGUGAAACUCAAAGGAAUUGACGGGGGCCCGCACAAGCGGAGGAACAUGUGGUUUAAUUCGAUGAUACGCGAGGAACCUU